GAUGAACGCUGGCGGCGUGCCUAAUACAUGCAAGUCGAGCGAACAGACGAGGAGCUUGCUCCUCUGACGUUAGCGGCGGACGGGUGAGUAACACGUGGAUAACCUACCUAUAAGACUGGGAUAACUUCGGGAAACCGGAGCUAAUACCGGAUAAUAUAUUGAACCGCAUGGUUCAAUAGUGAAAGACGGUUUUACUGUCACUUAUAGAUGGAUCCGCGCCGCAUUAGCUAGUUGGUAAGGUAACGGCUUACCAAGGCAACGAUGCGUAGCCGACCUGAGAGGGUGAUCGGCCACACGGGAACUGAGACACGGUCCAGACUCCUACGGGAGGCAGCAGUAGGGAAUCUUCCGCAAUGGGCGAAAGCCUGACGGAGCAACGCCGCGUGAGUGAUGAAGGUCUUCGGAUCGUAAAACUCUGUUAUUAGGGAAGAACAAAUGUGUAAGUAACUAUGCACGUCUUGACGGUACCUAAUCAGAAAGCCACGGCUAACUACGUG
This 497-nucleotide ribosomal RNA is filed under the name uncultured bacterium. Its description in RNAcentral is "partial 16S ribosomal RNA". It matches the Rfam family "Bacterial small subunit ribosomal RNA", at positions 28 to 507 of the family's 1533-position model. The record is from RNAcentral.